ACUGCUGUCUAGGUAAACAAUUCCCUUUUUCUGAGACACAACCAAGCUCUACUGCCAGUUCAGUAGAAUCCCUCAAUAAUCUCACAGAAAGCAGAUUUGAAGAAUUACAGUAUGAUGACUCCUGCAGAGAAACUAUCGCUUUAAGAGAGAUGUGCUCAGUCUUUGGCUGAUAGCGAAGAGUUUAAUGUGUUAUGCUUGCAGUAUGACCCCUGUAUCCAAGAGCUUGUGCGUUGCCUGGCACUGAGCAGACUGGUUUAGGGAAAUUAGCAUUUUGCAGUGGCUCAUGCUCAGUCAAGAAUGGUUAAAGCUUACCUGCAGUAAAAAGGUUGGGCACAUCAGGCACAAGAACAUGCAUCCCAAGCACACGAAGUACUGCGUUCCAGUCAACACGAGGAGAGAGUGAGCUGUCUCAACUGCUUCCUCACCAUACAUCAGACUCUUGGAAGUGCC
Molecule: long non-coding RNA, 450 nt
Organism: Carassius auratus (goldfish)
Lineage: Eukaryota; Metazoa; Chordata; Actinopteri; Cypriniformes; Cyprinidae
Exons: 3
Source: RefSeq, a predicted model, not a curated record